AAACUCAAAUGAAUUGACGGGGACCCGCACAAGCGGUGGAUGAUGUGGAUUAAUUCGAUGCAACGCGAAAACCUUACCUACCCUUGACAUGUCAGGAAUCCUGCUGAGAGGUGGGAGUGCUCGAAAGAGAACCUGAACACAGGUGCUGCAUGGCUGUCGUCAGCUCGUGUCGUGAGAUGUUGGGUUAAGUCCCGCAACGAGCGCAACCCUUGUCAUUAGUUGCCAUCAUUCAGUUGGGCACUCUAAUGAGACUGCCGGUGACAAACCGGAGGAAGGUGGGGAUGACGUCAAGUCCUCAUGGCCCUUAUGGGUAGGGCUUCACACGUCAUACAAUGGUCGGUACAGAGGGUUGCCAAGCCGCGAGGUGGAGCCAAUCCCAGAAAGCCGAUCGUAGUCCGGAUCGGAGUCUGCAACUCGACUCCGUGAAGUCGGAAUCGCUAGUAAUCGUGGAUCAGCAUGCCACGGUGAAUACGUUCCCGGGUCUUGUACACACCGCCCGUCACACCAUGGGAGUGGGUUUCACCAGAAGUAGGUAGCCUAACCGCAAGGAGGGCGCUUACCACGGUGGGAUUCAUGACUGGGGUGAAGUCGUAACAAGGUAGCCGUAGGGGAACCUGCGGCUGGAUCACCUCCUUUCUG
Molecule: ribosomal RNA, 639 nt
Filed under: uncultured Rhodocyclaceae bacterium
Lineage: Bacteria; Pseudomonadati; Pseudomonadota; Betaproteobacteria; Rhodocyclales; Rhodocyclaceae
Description: bacterial SSU rRNA
Rfam family: Bacterial small subunit ribosomal RNA
Source: RNAcentral